AGCAGCCGCGGUAAUUCCAGCUCCAAUAGCGUAUAUUAAAGUUGUUGCAGUUAAAAAGCUCGUAGUUGAAUUUCGGGGCCAGUAAGUUGGUCGUGCCACUGGUAUGUACUGGCUUUACUGGUCUCUCCUUCUUGAAGAACCGUGAUGCCAUUAAUUUGGUGUUGCGGGGAAACAGGACUGUUACUUUGAAAAAUUAGAGUGCUUAAAGCAGGCUUACGCUUGAAUACAUUAGCAUGGAAUAACGAAAUAGGACGCUCGAUUCUAUUUUGUUGGUUUCUAGGAUCGACGUAAUGAUUAAUAGGGAUAGUUGGGGGCAUUAGUAUUCAAUUGUCAGAGGUGAAAUUCUUGGAUUUAUUGAAGACUAACUACUGCGAAAGCAUUUGCCAAGGAUGUUUUCAUUAAUCAAGAACGAAAGUUAGGGGAUCGAAGACGAUCAGAUACCGUCGUAGU
Molecule: ribosomal RNA, 450 nt
Filed under: uncultured Glomus
Lineage: Eukaryota; Fungi; Glomeromycota; Glomeromycetes; Glomerales; Glomeraceae
Description: SSU rRNA
Rfam family: Eukaryotic small subunit ribosomal RNA
Source: RNAcentral